This 253-nucleotide ribosomal RNA is filed under the name uncultured bacterium. Its description in RNAcentral is "partial 16S ribosomal RNA". It matches the Rfam family "Bacterial small subunit ribosomal RNA", at positions 524 to 776 of the family's 1533-position model. The record is from RNAcentral.
UACGGAGGAUCCAAGCGUUAUCCGGAUUUAUUGGGUUUAAAGGGUGCGUAGGCGGCCUGGUAAGUCAGGGGUGAAAGACGGUAGCUCAACUAUCGCAGUGCCUUUGAUACUGCCGGGCUUGAAUGUACUUGAAGUGGGCGGAAUGUGACAAGUAGCGGUGAAAUACAUAGAUAUGUCACAGAACACCGAUUGCGAAGGCAGCUCACUAAAGUAUGAUUGACGCUGAGGCACGAAAGCGUGGGGAUCAAACAGG